Molecule: long non-coding RNA, 459 nt
Filed under: Suricata suricatta (meerkat)
Lineage: Eukaryota; Metazoa; Chordata; Mammalia; Carnivora; Herpestidae
Description: lncRNA (ENSSSUG00005016017.1)
Source: RNAcentral
CUGCCUUUCCCGCCUCGCUUGAGGACAUUGGUUGUCAGGUAAUAUCCCACCACGCCCUCCCAGACCUUGCUUUCCGGACUAUUUAAUCAAGGAGGGCAAUACUUUUUUUACAUUUAUUCAAAAAGCAUCGUGUGCCAUGUGCCAGGCACUGCGCAAGGUUUGGAAAUACACGGCUGACUGAAACAAAACUGCGCCUUCAAGGAGCUUACGGUCUAUUGGGGAAACAGACCAGAAACAGAUACCUACAAAAUAAAGACAAGCGCAAGGAAAGAGGUCCCAAGGAACCACUUUCCAUUAUACGACUCUGCUCUCCUGGCCACGGUUCAAUGCAGGGGCCAAUAAGAGGACCUUUGCUAAAAAUGUGAGAGAGUUCAAUCAUGUGCGUAGACCUCAGCUCAGGCUGCCAUAAACAACAUAGAGAAAUUUGCUUCCCCACAGUUCUGGAGAUUGGAAGUCCCC